UACGUAGGGUGCAAGCGUUGCCCGGAUUUAUUGGGCGUAAAGCGCGCGCAGGUGGUUGCGCAAGUCCUGUGUGAAAUCUCCCGGCUCAACCGGGAGGGGUCAUGGGAGACUGCGCGACUGGAGCCUGGGAGGGGGAAGCGGAAUUCCCGGUGUAGUGGUGGAAUGCGUAGAUAUCGGGAGGAACACCAGUGGCGAAGGCGGCUUCCUGGACCAGAGCUGACACUGAGGCGCGAAAGCGUGGGGAGCGAUCCGG
RNAcentral lists this non-coding RNA (253 nucleotides) under uncultured bacterium. RNAcentral's name for it is "partial 16S ribosomal RNA". It matches the Rfam family "Bacterial small subunit ribosomal RNA", at positions 524 to 776 of the family's 1533-position model. RNAcentral also lists the same sequence under 2 other names. The record is from RNAcentral.